UGCAAGUCGGACGGGAUUGCGAAGCUUGCUUUGCAUGAGAGUGGCGCACGGGUGCGUAACACGUAUGUAACCUACCUUAUCCAGGGGGAUAGCCUCUCGAAAGAGAGAUUAACACCGCAUAACAUCACGCCAUAGCAUUAUGAUGUGAUCAAAUAUUUAUAGGGAUAAGAUGGGCAUGCGGGACAUUAGCUAGUUGGCGGGGUAACGGCCCACCAAGGCUACGAUGUCUAGGGGAUCUGAGAGGAUGACCCCCCACACUGGUACUGAGACACGGACCAGACUCCUACGGGAGGCAGCAGUAAGGAAUAUUGGUCAAUGGGCGCAAGCCUGAACCAGCCAUGCCGCGUGCAGGAAGACGGCCCUACGGGUUGUAAACUGCUUUUGCAGGGGAAUAAACCCCCGUACGUGUACGGGGCUGAAUGUACUCUGAGAAUAAGGAUCGGCUAACUCCGUGCCAGCAGCCGCGGUAAUACGGAGGAUCCAAGCGUUAUCCGGAUUUAUUGGGUUUAAAGGGUGCGUAGGCGGCCUAUUAAGUCAGGGGUGAAAGACGGUAGCUUAACUAUCGCAGUGCCUUUGAUACUGAUGGGCUUGAAUGAACUAGAGGUAGGCGGAAUGUGACAAGUAGCGGUGAAAUGCAUAGAUAUGUCACAGAACACCAAUUGCGAAGGCAGCUUACUAUGGUUUUAUUGACGCUGANGCACGAAAG
RNAcentral lists this ribosomal RNA (706 nucleotides) under uncultured Bacteroidota bacterium. RNAcentral describes it as "bacterial SSU rRNA". It matches the Rfam family "Bacterial small subunit ribosomal RNA", at positions 56 to 759 of the family's 1533-position model. Lineage: Bacteria; Pseudomonadati; Bacteroidota. The record is from RNAcentral.